This 99-nucleotide signal recognition particle RNA is filed under the name Oscillospiraceae bacterium. RNAcentral describes it as "signal recognition particle sRNA small type". It matches the Rfam family "Bacterial small signal recognition particle RNA". Rfam says of the family: The signal recognition particle (SRP) is a universally conserved ribonucleoprotein involved in the co-translational targeting of proteins to membranes. Archaeal SRP consists of a 7S RNA and homologues of the eukaryotic SRP19 and SRP54 proteins. Lineage: Bacteria; Bacillati; Bacillota; Clostridia; Eubacteriales; Oscillospiraceae. The record is from RNAcentral.
GGGUGAAGCCUGUGCGAUGGAACGCCGCGAACCAUGUCAGGCGGGGAACCGAGCAGCAUUAAACGGAUGCUUCAUGUGCCGCAGUCCACUUUGCCCGUC